Molecule: unclassified non-coding RNA, 378 nt
Filed under: uncultured fungus
Lineage: Eukaryota; Fungi
Description: sequence contains ITS1
Rfam family: 5.8S ribosomal RNA (bases 1-104)
Source: RNAcentral
GAACUGCGAUAAGUAGUGUGAAUUGCAGAAUUCUGUGAAUCAUCAAACCCUUGAACGCACAUUGCGCCUGGAUGUUAUGUCCAGGCACGCCUGUUCGAGCAUCGGUUUUACCUUCUCAUCCUUCCCCUCAGGGGUGCAAGGAUUGGAACUGAGCUUCUGAUUAACCUCAGUGGCUUGAAAAACAUUGGUGGACAGUUCUCAGGGACUUCAAUAAAGCCUUCAGAACAAUCUCUGGUACUAGAUUGCACACUGCAACUUUGCCAGGACUCUGACUGUGCCCUUGAAUCCUUGACAAGACUUGUUGGCCUUUUUAGGUCCCUUGCGACCUACCUUCAAACCUUCGAUCUCGAAUCAGGCGGGAUUACCCGCUGAAUUUAA